Molecule: long non-coding RNA, 333 nt
Organism: Bactrocera oleae (olive fruit fly)
Lineage: Eukaryota; Metazoa; Arthropoda; Insecta; Diptera; Tephritidae
Source: RefSeq, a predicted model, not a curated record
AUUCAGACCCCCAACUCAUGAGCAUAUUUGCAACGAGCUCAAUACUUUCCACCAUCUCUCACUUGAAACACCCUCAAAAACUUUGCGAAAUAAAUGUUUUGCGGCUGCACAAAUUCAAAUUUGAUAACACUUAAUUUGCUGAUAACAGAACCUUCUGUCAUACUACUACGUGAGCGCGUAAUGUUUAACAUUUUACCAUCAAAUUGAAAUUUAGAAAUAUAACGGAAAUGUUCCAUGUCAUCAGCAUCAAAGUAAACAAACAGCACAUCAAAUGAUUUUUCGCGAACGAGCUGCAGAAAGUUAUUUGUACCAAUAAAGAAGUCAGUAUCACUA